UACAGAGGGUGCGAGCGUUAAUCGGAAUUACUGGGCGUAAAGCGUGCGUAGACGGUUAUUUAAGUCGGGUGUGAAAGCCCCGGGCUCAACCUGGGAAUUGCAUUCGAGACUGAAUAGCUAGGGUACGGUAGAGGGAAGCGGAAUUUCUGGUGUAGCGGUGAAAUGCGUAGAUAUCAGAAGGAACAUCAGUGGCGAAAGCGACUUCCUGGACCAGAACUGACGAUCAGGCACGAAAGCGUGGGGAGCAAACAGG
Molecule: ribosomal RNA, 253 nt
Filed under: uncultured bacterium
Lineage: Bacteria
Description: partial 16S ribosomal RNA
Rfam family: Bacterial small subunit ribosomal RNA
Source: RNAcentral